This is a small nucleolar RNA of Artibeus jamaicensis (Jamaican fruit-eating bat), 129 nucleotides long. RefSeq annotates it as U8 small nucleolar RNA. The transcript has a single exon. The record is from RefSeq and is a predicted model, not a curated record. NCBI's taxonomy places the organism in Eukaryota, Metazoa, Chordata, Mammalia, Chiroptera, Phyllostomidae.
UCAUCAGGUCGGAUAAUCCUUCCCUAUUCCUCCUUUUGGAACACAGAUUGGAAUAUGAUGAUGGUUCACAUGACUUGCAAUUAGCAUUUCUGCAUAACCAGGACUUGCAACACCCAGAUUGUUCCUGAU